Molecule: long non-coding RNA, 1073 nt
Organism: Zophobas morio
Lineage: Eukaryota; Metazoa; Arthropoda; Insecta; Coleoptera; Tenebrionidae
Exons: 4
Source: RefSeq, a predicted model, not a curated record
AGGUUCAGACUGUCAAAAGAAUCUGUAACAAAUUUGAUACAUUCAAUUCAUGAUGUCAUAAAGCAUCCGACAAAUUGGAAUCACGCUCUUACAUCAAUGGAAAUGUUGUUAAUUACACUCCGAUUUUUCGCGACAGGCAGUUUCUUAAUUGUAAUUGGAGAUUUUGGAGGUGUUCACAAGAGUACUGUGGGAAAAGCAAUAAACAGAGUUACAAGAGCUAUUGCAAAUUUGCGGGAAGAAUACAUAAAAUUUCCUCAAACAGGAGAAGAAAUCUCUAUAGUGCAACAAGGUUUUUAUCAACUUGCAAGAUUCCCACGAGUUGUUGGUGCUUUAGAUUGCACACAUAUCAAAAUAAAGUCACCGGGUGGAGAAAAUGCUGAAAUUUAUCGCAAUCGGAAAAAUUUUUUCUCCCUGAAUGUGCAAACAAUUGCUGCUUCUAAUUUAAAAAUAAUAAAUAUUGUAGCAAGAUGGCCCGGUUCUGCUCACGACUCAACAAUUUUUAGAAAUUCUGAGAUUUGCAGAAAAUUUCAAAAUGCAGAAAUGGAGCGUGCAAUACUUGUUGGGGAUGCAGGUUACCCUAUUCAAAAUUUUUUAAUGACACCAUUGACAGUGACAAAUACAAUUGCUCAAAAUUUAUAUAACGAGUCACUGAUUAGAACACGAAACCCAGUUGAACGUUCUUAUGGUGUUUGGAAACGACGCUUCCCGAUUUUAAGUAAUGGCAUAAAUCUACACCUACGAAUGGUUCCCUGGAUAAUUGUAGCCACAGCAGUCUUGCAUAAUAUCGCAAUUUUAAACGACGAAGAUGAACCACCUCCCUUAAAUCUCGAAGAGCAAAGAGCUUUUGAUUUGGCAGAUGAUGUACCAGUUGCUGAUGAUGUAAAUAGAAAUAACAACAACAGAGCAAGAAAUGAAUUCAUUGCAUAUUUUGCAAAUUUGUAAAUUUACAUAUAUAGUGUAGAAGUUUAUAAAUUAUUUCUAAAUUCAUUAAAUGCAAUUUCAGCUCAUGUUCCGCUCUAUGCUUUAGUUGGUUUAGUAUUUUUCAUUGUUCACAUCACUUAUGUAUUCAUCUA